UACGUAGGGAGCAAGCGUUGUCCGGAAUCAUUGGGCGUAAAGCGCGCGUAGGCGGCCUCAUAAGUCCGUUGUGAAAGUCAAAGGCUACAACCUUUGAAAGCCGAUGGAUACUGUGAGGCUAGAGUCCGGAAGAGGCGAGUGGAAUUCCUGGUGUAGCGGUGGAAUGCGCAGAUAUCAGGAGGAACACCAAUAGCGAAGGCAGCUCGCUGGGACGGUACUGACGCUAAGGCGCGAAAGCGUGGGAGCGAACGAGGA
Molecule: ribosomal RNA, 255 nt
Filed under: uncultured bacterium
Lineage: Bacteria
Description: partial 16S ribosomal RNA
Rfam family: Bacterial small subunit ribosomal RNA
Source: RNAcentral